RNAcentral lists this ribosomal RNA (664 nucleotides) under uncultured archaeon. RNAcentral's name for it is "bacterial SSU rRNA". It matches the Rfam family "Archaeal small subunit ribosomal RNA", at positions 691 to 1353 of the family's 1478-position model. The record is from RNAcentral.
UCGACGGUGAGGGAUGAAAGCUGGGGGAGCAAACCGGAUUAGAUACCCGGGUAGUCCCAGCUGUAAACGAUGCAAACUCGAUGAUGCGUUGGCUUAUUGCUAGCGCAGUGUCGCAGGGAAGCCGUUAAGUUUGCCGCCUGGGAAGUACGUACGCAAGUAUGAAACUUAAAGGAAUUGGCGGGGGAGCACCACAAGGGGUGAAGCCUGCGGUUCAAUUGGAGUCAACGCCUGAAACCUUACCCGGAGAGACAGCAGAAUGAAGGUCAAGCUGAAGACUUUACCAGACAAGCUGAGAGGUGGUGCAUGGCCGUCGCCAGCUCGUGCCGUGAGAUGUCCUGUUAAGUCAGGUAACGAGCGAGAUCCCUGCCUCUAGUUGCCACUAUUACACCCUGGUGUAGUAGGGCGAAUUAGGGGGACCGCCGCAGUUAAUGCGGAGGAAGGAAGGGGCCACGGCAGGUCAGUAUGCCCCGAAACUCUGGGGCCACACGCGGGCUGCAAUGGUAGCGACAAUGAGUUCCAAAAUCGAAAGAUAGAGGUAAUCCCUAAACGCUACCACAGUUGUGAUUGAGGGCUGCAACUCGCCCUCAUGAACAUGGAAUCCCUAGUAACCGCGUGUCAUUAUCGCGCAGUGAAUACGUCCCUGCUCCUUGCACUCACCGCCCGU